UGCGUAGGUGGGCAGGUAAGUCAGUGGUGAAAUCUCUAAGCUUAACUUAGAAACUGCCGUUGAUACUAUCUGUCUUGAAUAUAGUGGAGGUGAGCGGAAUAUGUCAUGUAGCGGUGAAAUGCUUAGAUAUGACAUAGAACACCCAUUGCGAAGGCAGCUCGCUACGCUAUUAUUGACACUGAUGCACGAAAGCGUGGGGAUCAAACAGGAUUAGAUACCCUGGUAGUCCACGCCCUAAACGAUGGAUACUCGACAUCAGCGAUACACUGUUGGUGUCUGAGCGAAAGCAUUAAGUAUCCCACCUGGGAAGUACGACCGCAAGGUUGAA
This 328-nucleotide ribosomal RNA is filed under the name uncultured bacterium. RNAcentral's name for it is "bacterial SSU rRNA". It matches the Rfam family "Bacterial small subunit ribosomal RNA", at positions 568 to 898 of the family's 1533-position model. The record is from RNAcentral.